GAUGAAGAACGUAGCGAAAUGCGAUAAGUAAUGUGGAUUGCAGAAUUCAGUGAAUCAUCGAAUCUUUGAACGCACAUUGCGCCCCUUGGUAUUCCGAGGGGCAUGCCUGUUCGAGCGUCAUUAUAACCCCUCAAGCUCAGCUUGGUGUUGGGGCCUGCUGCACUGGCAGCCCUUAAAAUCAGUGGCGGCGCCAUCUGGCUCUAAGCGUAGUAAUUCUUCUCGCUAUGGAGUCCUGGUGGAUGCUUGCCAUCAACCCCCAAUUUUUCUAUGGUUGACCUCGGAUCAGGUAGGGAUACCCGCUGAACUUAAGCAUAUCAAUAAGCGGAGGA
This 329-nucleotide unclassified non-coding RNA is filed under the name soil metagenome. RNAcentral describes it as "partial contains 5.8S ribosomal RNA, internal transcribed spacer 2, and large subunit ribosomal RNA". The stretch from base 1 to 120 matches the Rfam family "5.8S ribosomal RNA", at positions 35 to 154 of the family's 154-position model. The record is from RNAcentral.